AGGUCUCCUAAGCUUGACUCCUCUUCGGCAUGAGACUAAGGAAGCUCCCCAAGUUCCAGUCAGAGGUCUGAAUUUGUGAAUUUGCUGAGGCUGAUAGGACAGUGUGGGCUGUCCCUGAAAGUUGGAGGAGGUGACAACAAGGUUGGGGGCCUUCCAUAUGGGUGCCUGCUGUACCACAUAUCCAGUAAAAACAGAACAUUUACGAAUGCAGGCUUAUGGAAGAGUCUUGCCCUAACAGAAAAACAGGGAUGAGGCUGGGAAGAGGAUAAAGUUAUAGCAGGAUAAAGUUAUAAGAAGAUAACAAAGCAGGAUGACAUCACAUGGGACCAAGAAGGGGGCUGCAUCAUCCCUGGACCUGCUCCUGGGGGCUGUCGGAUUGUGGGCGUGGCCGCUUUGGAUGCCCAGCUUCCUGAGCCCUACAGAGAUAACAACUAGCAGAGUGCACCAGCACGUACAUUGGAUUAUCCUUUUCAUUGUGUCUGAGCCAAUCUGCUUAAUGUUCAGAUACACGUGGGGAAAAAAAGGCAAAAUAUUUUUGUUUUAGAUCCUUUCAGAAGGCACAAAAAAAUAAAGUACAAACACGAAUCACUUGACAAUUUUAUGAUUAAAACCAACAAAUGGAAAACAGACAGUGUUGGGUGUUGCUGACAUAAUCAAGCAUUUCGUGCGGACCCACUCAACCACCCCAUUUCUUGGAUCUAUUUCUGGAUGUACCAAAUGUGUCUGAAGAUGAACUCACUUUCGCACAUCAAAGAUGUAUCCAGUGUUAAACACCGGAGCCAGAACCCAGGUGAAAAUCUGCUGGUUCAGGGCAACACCACUUCCGGCUUUAUUAAACACUCAAAAGUCAGGUUCCCAAGAAACGCUUGGAUCUAUGCGCAAGUAUAACAUGUCAAAACUGUUAAAUGUGACCAUGAGAAAAAUGACAUGAGCAUGUUUCAUCUUUGGGUAGAGGGUGGUGGUUUUCUGGGAAGACACUGUCUGAGACACCGAGUAGAGAAGUCAAAUGGAAGACGUUUAGCAUGUGCUUAAUUCUUGCUUGAUAAGAACAAGAAAUCCCGGAAAAGGUCACCCACAGAACGGUCUAAAAGGAGAUAGGGAAUCUCAUUAUUUGCACAUCAAUGGUGCCAUCAGUUGGAUGUGGAUAGAUUUUAAAAUCGAGGCUCAUCUUUUCGGCAAGAGCAAAUUGACAUAGAACAUCUUAACUCUCCACCUUCUGCAGGCGGCAGUGUGGCUAAUAUUGAGGCCCUUCAAAGUCACAACUCCAAAAGAGAGGAACAUACAGUGCUCCUGUGAUUUUGUGGGACAAACCCAGACCCGGACUGCUGGCGUGGCAUUUAAUAGGAUGCCCUCCCCUGAAAGUAACAAAGAGAACCCUCGUCAAAGCUAUCAAACACAUUAAAAAAAUACAAAAGUUAUUUUCUCCUUUUGAUUGCUAUUUACUUGUGACAAUAUUUGUUAAAAAUAUCACUUCUGUCUUUGAGAAGAGAUCAUUCUCUUCAUAUAGUAUGGAAAAAUAAACUCUGCUGAACACUCAGUCAACAUUCCCCACCACUGCCAGGGGCUUUUGGCUUUCACAUCUCCAAAUACCAUCAUCAGCAUAAAAGUAUUAUGUUUUUGAGUAGGCAAACACUUUUGCUAUGUCUAGUGUGCUGGAAGUAAGAGAAAAAGGAAGUGGCAAGGCUCAUGUAGCAUUUUGAAGGGGGAGAGUUACAAAAUAGGAUGGUUUAUUUGCUAACAAAAUGAAAGGUAACAAGGUGGUUUCAGGCCUUCCUAAAAAGUCAUAGGAUGUCCCCUCACCUCUUAGACCACUUUCAGCCUUGCUAAUGCUUGGUAGAUUCUUAAUGGAAGGGUAGGGAGCCCUAUAGGCUAAUUAUCAGUGUCAAUGCAAAGGAGGGCUCAACUUCUGCACCCAGGAUCAUCUUAAAACACUGAGCUGGAUGAAUGGGAGAAGACAAGGAUCCAUAAAAACAGUAAAAUGUUUAUUUUCUUAGAAAAAAAAGUGAGGAAGAGGGAUUCAAAAUGAUUGUGAUCACACUUCCAUCUGCAUCUGAGCAAAGCCAAUGUUGCAAGCUUAAUUCUUGAUUAAGAUACCUAUUAAAUCAAACAACCUGCCACUCACUCCUACGUCACUUCCAGGAGUCACAUCACAGCAUGCUUUUAAUUGAUAAUAGCUUCUCUACUUCUUCUGAGCAGAGAAACAAGGCUUGGCAUAGCAACCAUCCCAUCUCCAAAGCUCAACACUGCCAGUGAGAAGCAAGGCUCAGUCCAUCUCUAGACUGCGUGCGAGAGAUGGGGAGGAAGGAGAGAGGGCAGGAGAUGCUUGUCUUAGAAGCAGAACCAGUUUAGAAGAGAAGUUUGUUAUCUGAGUUCACCACUACCUCAUCUUAUAGAAAAUAGGUUGGAGAGCAUCUGUAAAACCAACAGUAUCUUUAAGGUGAAAUUGCAGAAUUUUGCUGCAUACCUGGACACAAGAGAAGUGAAAAGUUGCAACAAGUUUUAACUAGCAGCAACAAAGAAAGUUCGAUAACAGUUUUUUUUGUUUGUUUUUAGCAAUAUUCCUUUGCAAGUUCAUUAAGAAACACUGUAAUUUAAUGGGGCGUACAAUAUGGAACGAUCUUCUUUUGCUAUAGUGCUGUUCGCUGAAUAGAACCGACCUUUGCAAAGAUUUCAACUGGGGUGUAACCUAUUUACACAGUAGUAGCUCCUGGUUUGAGUGGUAAAAUUGGUGCUAUGUGAUAUCCUCUUCUUCCGAACAGUAAUCCCGACCCUUGGAGGGAAAAAGAAAAAAGAGCAUGUGAAUGAGAAAUUCAAAGCAGAGCCUGAAAUAGUUACUUGUAAUCAAUUUUCUCUCAAUAUAUGUCUCCUUGCAACAGAAUCCAGGCUUUGUCAGUGAUAGCUGGCACAGGGGUAGCUACGUCAUAAAUACAUGUUAGCCAAUUUAUAAGCUAUAUAUACUUCAAGGCAUGACAGUUUUACCAAGCCCCAAAUAAGCCCUUACUUUAUGUUGGUAAGAAUUUAUAUUAUAACAGCCAUAUUCAAGAGUCAGCCUUUCACUAAGAAAUUACCAAAUGGCCAAUCCAUUCAGGAGAUCAAUUUCUUAUCAGGAAGAAUGAACAAGCCACAUUCUACAGCUACAUCCCCGUGCCUGAAAAUCAACAUUCUACAGACAGCAUACAAUCCAGGGAUGUCUGAGUUUAAUUCACUCUAAAACGGAUUACAAAAAACAACAAACAAGAAUCCUUAAACACGCAUAACAGGUCUGUGCUUGGUAUGUGUGGGAUGCACAAGAAAGGCAAAGAUGCUUCUGAUUCAUUUGCUAACUAAAACAGGUUAUCUGAAGCUCUAAGGACUAUGUACAAUGGUUAUUUGUGAACAUAUUUUAUCCUCUCUCCUCUAGGUCAUAAACUCAAUGAAGACAUGAUUGGGGCUGGGCUUUAAGGAUCCACAUUUAACCGAGCUGGCUUGUCUUGGUCAAAACACAUGACUCUCUUGGUCUGUAACCCAUCACAGGGCACCUGCCCUGCCUGUGUCCGAUGUCAUAGAUAAGGGUUUUGUAAAAAGUCAGGUGUUAUUAUUAUUUGUUUCCUUCAACUUUUUCUUUUUCUUUUAAAAUACACACUACAUGUUUCAUUUUUCUUGGGGGGGGGGAAUGUUCUUUUAAAAGCAGAACUUAUUUCUAAAAGUACCAAUACUUAACGAUACUAAUAAUAAUUUUGCAUAUAACUAUUUCUCAGAUGUAUUACAUGUUUUUUGGUCACAUUAUCUAUAUAACAGAAAUAUUUUACAUUUUCCUAAUAUUUAAGCAUUAUCAAAAUGGAUUAUUUUGUGCCACGUGGCUGGGUGCUAAUCUUGACUCUGUGACUUCCUAGCUCUGGGAUCCUGGUAAAAUUACCUCUCUGUGUCUCAGUUUCUUCAUCUGUAAAAUGAAGAGAACAAUAGUACCUAUUUCACAGAAUAGUUGAAGAUUAAAUGAGUUAAUAGUAAUAAAGUGAUUAAAUCAUUUCUGGCACAUACUUUUACACAUGAUGUAUAUGUGCCCAUGCCCGUGUGUGUUUGGCAAAUUACAAAAUACUGCUGGCUGGACACGGUGGCUCACGCCUGUAAUCCCGCACUUUGGGAGGCCGAGGCAGGUGGAUCACCUGAGGUCAGGAAUUUGAGGCCAGCCUGACC
This 4173-nucleotide long non-coding RNA is filed under the name Homo sapiens (human). Its description in RNAcentral is "non-protein coding lnc-EDEM3-7:5". Lineage: Eukaryota; Metazoa; Chordata; Mammalia; Primates; Hominidae. The record is from RNAcentral.